RNAcentral lists this ribosomal RNA (465 nucleotides) under uncultured bacterium. Its description in RNAcentral is "partial 16S ribosomal RNA". It matches the Rfam family "Bacterial small subunit ribosomal RNA", at positions 28 to 507 of the family's 1533-position model. The record is from RNAcentral.
GACGAACGCUGGCGGCGUGCUUAACACAUGCAAGUCGAACGGAAAGGCCCCUUUGGGGGUACUCGAGUGGCGAACGGGCGAGUAACACGUGAGUAACCUGCCCUUGACUUCGGGAUAACUUCAGGAAACUGGGGCUAAUACCGGAUAGGAAUCCUUGCUGCAUGGUGGGGGUUGGAAAGCUUCGGCGGUUUUGGAUGGACUCGCGGCCUAUCAGCUUGUUGGUGGGGUAGUGGCUUACCAAGGCGUUGACGGGUAGCCGGCCUGAGAGGGCGACCGGCCACAUUGGGACUGAGGUCCGGCCCCGACUCCUACGGGAGGCAGCCGUGGGGAAUAUUGCACAAUGGGCGGCAGCCUGAUGCAGCAACGCCGCGUGCGGGAUGACGGCCUUCGGGUUGUAAACCGCUUUCAGCAGGGGCGAAGCUUGUGGUGACGGUACCUGCAGAAGAAGCACCGGCUAACUACGUG